UUCCAGACUCCUACGGGAGGCAGCAGUGAGGAAUAUUGGUCAAUGGGCGCGAGCCUGAACCAGCCAAGUCGCGUGAGGGAAGACGGUCCUAUGGAUUGUAAACCUCUUUUGUCGGGGAGCAAAGAGAGUCACGUGUGACUCAUUGAGAGUACCCGAAGAAAAAGCAUCGGCUAACUCCGUGCCAGCAGCCGCGGUAAUACGGAGGAUGCGAGCGUUAUCCGGAUUUAUUGGGUUUAAAGGGUGCGCAGGCGGAGGUGCAAGUCAGCGGUCAAAUUGCGGGGCUCAACCCCGUACUGCCGUUGAAACUGGCGUUCUUGAGUGGGCGAGAAGUAUGCGGAAUGCGUGGUGUAGCGGUGAAAUGCAUAGAUAUCACGCAGAACUCCGAUUGCGAAGGCAGCAUACCGGCGCCCAACUGACGCUGAAGCACGAAAGCGUGGGUAUCGAACAGGAUUAGAUACCCUCGUACG
This 467-nucleotide ribosomal RNA is filed under the name uncultured bacterium. RNAcentral's name for it is "bacterial SSU rRNA". It matches the Rfam family "Bacterial small subunit ribosomal RNA", at positions 329 to 793 of the family's 1533-position model. The record is from RNAcentral.